Molecule: ribosomal RNA, 460 nt
Filed under: uncultured bacterium
Lineage: Bacteria
Description: partial 16S ribosomal RNA
Rfam family: Bacterial small subunit ribosomal RNA
Source: RNAcentral
CCUACGGGAGGCAGCAGUGAGGAAUAUUGGUCAAUGGACGAGAGUCUGAACCAGCCAAGCCGCGUGAAGGAUGACUGCCCUAUGGGUUGUAAACUUCUUUUAUAUGGGAAUAAAACAGGGUAUGCAUACCCUCCUGUAUGUACCAUAUGAAUAAGGAUCGGCUAACUCCGUGCCAGCAGCCGCGGUAAUACGGAGGUUCCGAGCGUUAUCCGGAUUUAUUGGGUUUAAAGGGAGCGUAGGUGGACUGUUAAGUCAUUUGUGAAAGUUUGCGGCUCAACCGUAAAAUUGCAAUUGAAACUGGCAGGCUUGAGUACAGUAGAGGUGAGCGGAAUUCGUGGUGUAGCGGUGAAAUGCUUAGAUAUAACGAAGAACACCGAUUGCGAAGGCAGCUCACUGGACUGCAACUGACGCUGAUGCUCGAAAGUGUGGGUAUCAAACAGGAUUAGAUACCCGAGUAGUC